Molecule: transfer RNA, 71 nt
Filed under: Aedes aegypti (yellow fever mosquito)
Lineage: Eukaryota; Metazoa; Arthropoda; Insecta; Diptera; Culicidae
Rfam family: tRNA
About the family: Transfer RNA (tRNA) molecules are approximately 80 nucleotides in length.
Source: Rfam by way of RNAcentral
GACUCGGUAGCUUUGUUGGUAAAGCGCUCGUCAAGCAUACAAGAGUCCUGGGUUCGAAUCUCAACCGAGCA